AUCUGGUGUGAGAGGAAUGCAAGAAGACACGGUGAGUUACCCUCUCAAUUAGCUCAAU
Molecule: small RNA, 58 nt
Filed under: Arabidopsis thaliana (thale cress)
Lineage: Eukaryota; Viridiplantae; Streptophyta; Magnoliopsida; Brassicales; Brassicaceae
Description: ATSL153360
Source: RNAcentral